RNAcentral lists this long non-coding RNA (1320 nucleotides) under Homo sapiens (human). RNAcentral's name for it is "long non-coding RNA NONHSAT216510.1". The record is from RNAcentral. Lineage: Eukaryota; Metazoa; Chordata; Mammalia; Primates; Hominidae.
CUCCUCCACAAUUACUGCAGAGUCAGAAGUGGAAUUUCCGCCUGAUGUUUUAUGUCAAAAUCAGUAUGAAAGACUGCAGCAUGCUGAGUGAGCUUUCCGUUCUCGCUGAGAUGCAAUGCAGGGUCCACCCUCUGCAGGCCACAAUUUUGCCUGGAGGCAAAGCAUUCAGUCUUUCCAUUGGCCUGACAAUUUGAGCCAAGCUUUGAGGCCAACAGACAAAAUGCACUAGCAACUGGAGAGGGCCUGCCUGGUGGCCCUCCCUGUGAGAAGGUAUUCUUCCUGCUCCAUUGACAUCAGGCUUAUUAGCCAUGUUUCUGGAUUUGGUCCAUUUCAUGAUAAAGAGAACAUGGAGCAGGGCUGCAGCUGAUCUUCAAAGGGCAUGAACACAAGCCAGAGAGAAGCCGUUAUUGUUGUAAGCCCUGAAGAUUUGGGGGAUAUUAUUGCAACACAACUCAGCCCAAGCUGACUAAUACAACAAGUUUCUAUGUAUACAUGGAAAUGUAUGUAAUCUUAGCCUCAAUUCAAACAAGUGAGGAAACUUGAUUUGUUUUGGAGAAAAAAAGAGAGAGAAUCACUAUGACUAAUAACAGAGCCUAUCUGUUCUGGGUACCAGAGAUCCCCGGUUGGUGACCCCAUCCCUGACUGCAGCAUUAAGUCCUGAGUCAUCUAUCCCAAUCAGCUCGUAGCAGUCUUCUUAAUGUCUCCUAUUGUUUAAGCAUGGUCAUUUGCCUAAAUCGAUACAAUAAGACUAAAUUAAAGGAUAUAUACUUCAGUAAUUUACAUGCUUCAGGUAAAGAUUUCUCACCCUUGCUGACAUGAACAUGGAGCACAAAGCUUUUAAGACCACGGAUUUUUUAGCUGCUGUCUUGGCACUAUGAGGGGACCCAGCCUUAGGAUGAAGCCAGGUGCUGAGGACAGCAGAGCACAGGAAUGGAAAGAACUCACGUCUAUGAUAACAUCUUUGAACUGAUAAUUAUACUGCACCUGGAUGCCUCUUACCUCUGGACUUAAUGUUAUGUGAGGCAAUCGAUUUCCUUAUUCUUAUGAAAACCAGUUUCUGUGAAACUGAUCAGUAUCAAGCAUGAAGCAUGCUUCAUGAAGCAGCAUCAGACAGUAGAAAAUACCAGGGCAGCUGCAGGUCACAGCCCUGAAAUCUGGCCAUGGGGUUCAUAUCCUGCUUCCACUUGUGCUAGCUGUGUGGCCUUGGGGAACAUACUCAACCUCUGGCGGCUUCAGUUUCUGCAUCUGAAAAACAAUGAUAAUAAUAGAGUUCCUCACAGGAUAAAUGUGCGUAACACACAUAAUGUAGUGCCUGGCCCA